GACGAACGCUGGCGGCGUGCUUAACACAUGCAGGUCGAACGGAAAGGCCCUGCUUUUGUGGGGUGCUCGAGUGGCGAACGGGUGAGUAACACGUGAGUAACCUGCCCUUGACUUUGGGGUAACUUCAGGAAACUGGGGCUAAUACCGGAUAGGAGCUCCUGCUGCAUGGUGGGGGUUGGAAAGUUUCGGCGGUUGGGGAUGGACUCGCGGCUUAUCAGCUUGUUGGUGGGGUAGUGGCUUACCAAGGCUUUGACGGGUAGCCGGCCUGAGAGGGUGACCGGCCACAUUGGGACUGAGAUACGGCCCAGACUCCUACGGGAGGCAGCAGUGGGGAAUAUUGCACAAUGGGCGGAAGCCUGAUGCAGCAACGCCGCGUGCGGGAUGACGGCCUUCGGGUUGUAAACCGCUUUCGCCUGUGACGAAGCGUGAGUGACGGUAAUGGGUAAAGAAGCACCGGCUAACUACGUG
RNAcentral lists this ribosomal RNA (468 nucleotides) under uncultured bacterium. RNAcentral describes it as "partial 16S ribosomal RNA". It matches the Rfam family "Bacterial small subunit ribosomal RNA", at positions 28 to 507 of the family's 1533-position model. The record is from RNAcentral.